Molecule: long non-coding RNA, 615 nt
Organism: Saccostrea echinata
Lineage: Eukaryota; Metazoa; Mollusca; Bivalvia; Ostreida; Ostreidae
Exons: 3
Source: RefSeq, a predicted model, not a curated record
UAUGCCAGAAUUUUUUCAAGAACAGUCUGAAUCUGACAUGGAAAAAAUUAAGAAAAACAGCCUUCCUGUUUAUAAAUCUACAUUCUGACAAAGGAUCAUUUUCUUGAGAUAGGUGGAACCAACAGUCAAAUACAGACACUUCUAAGAAAAGUAAAAAUCUGGCUCAGGUAAGAAAGAAAUUCAGGAGUUCUUAAAUUGCCCUUGGAGUUCUUGGAUUGCAUCAAACGGCUAAAAGACCUCAACAAAAACAGCGUCUUGAAAAUAAAAAUGAAAAUAUUCAGUGAAAAAAAAAUGAUGAAAGAGCCACUAAAAAUCUUCAAGCCUUUGAGCUGAAAUCUGGAAGUCAAUCUGUGGACUUUACUAGUAAGUCAUAAUUACUAAGUCAUCAUUUGUGUAUAAUAAAUACACUAAACUGUAAACACUUGUUAAAAUGUGUAUAAUUUUUAGAUAUAAUUUUUAUCUCAUAGACUUCAAUAGUUUCAUGUAAUUUAAGUAAUAAUGAAAAUUUCCUGUUGUCUAGCUAGAUUAGAAACUAUUAUUGUCCAAUUUUGGAUAUUGUGAAAUAAUUCAUCUAGUAUGCAUACAUGUGUGUACACUUACGUGUAAAUUAAUUGU